UGUGCCCAGGUGUGUGACAGGUGUGCUCAGGUGUGUCACAGGUGUGCCCAGGUGUAUCUCAGGUGUGUGACAGGUGUGUUUUCCAGCCCCCAAAGGUGAGCAGGAGCUGCAGGUGCUGCAGGUGUGUCACAGGUGUAUCUCAGGUGUGCCCAGGUGUGUGACAGGUGUGUUUUCCAGCCCCCAAAGGUGAGCAGGAGCUGCAGGUGCUGCAGGUGUGUGACAGGUGUGCCCAGG
Molecule: non-coding RNA, 234 nt
Organism: Taeniopygia guttata (zebra finch)
Lineage: Eukaryota; Metazoa; Chordata; Aves; Passeriformes; Estrildidae
Source: RefSeq, a predicted model, not a curated record